CGAUUCCGGAGAGGGAGCCUGAGAAACGGCUACCACAUCUAAGGAAGGCAGCAGGCGCGCAAAUUACCCAAUCCUAAUACAGGGAGGUAGUGACAAGAAAUAACAAUACAGGACUUUAACAGUUUUGUAAUUGGAAUGAGUUGAGUAUAAACCCCUUUACAAGUAUCAAUUGGAGGGCAAGUCUGGUGCCAGCAGCCGCGGUAAUUCCAGCUCCAAUAGCGUAUAUUAAAGUUGUUGCAGUUAAAAAGCUCGUAGUUGGAUUUCUGUUAAUAAUUUAUAUAUAAUAUUUAACAUAUUUAUAUAAUAUUAACAUAAUUC
Molecule: ribosomal RNA, 318 nt
Filed under: Cryptosporidium canis
Lineage: Eukaryota; Apicomplexa; Conoidasida; Eucoccidiorida; Cryptosporidiidae
Description: SSU rRNA
Rfam family: Eukaryotic small subunit ribosomal RNA
Source: RNAcentral